CGAAUGCUGACAUAAGUAACGAUAAAGCGGGUGAAAAGCCCGCUCGCCGGAAGACCAAGGGUUCCUGUCCAACGUUAAUCGGGGCAGGGUGAGUCGACCCCUAAGGCGAGGCCGAAAGGCGUAGUCGAUGGGAAACAGGUUAAUAUUCCUGUACUUGGUGUUACUGCGAAGGGGGGACGGAGAAGGCUAUGUUGGCCGGGCGACGGUUGUCCCGGUUUAAGCGUGUAGGCUGGUUUUCCAGGCAAAUCCGGAAAAUCAAGGCUGAGGCGUGAUGACGAGGCACUACGGUGCUGAAGCAACAAAUGCCCUGCUUCCAGGAAAAGCCUCUAAGCAUCAGGUAACAUCAAAUCGUACCCCAAACCGACACAGGUGGUCAGGUAGAGAAUACCAAGGCGCUUGAGAGAACUCGGGUGAAGGAACUAGGCAAAAUGGUGCCGUAAC
RNAcentral lists this ribosomal RNA (441 nucleotides) under Escherichia coli. RNAcentral describes it as "partial 23S ribosomal RNA". It matches the Rfam family "Bacterial large subunit ribosomal RNA", at positions 1291 to 1734 of the family's 2925-position model. The record is from RNAcentral. Lineage: Bacteria; Pseudomonadati; Pseudomonadota; Gammaproteobacteria; Enterobacterales; Enterobacteriaceae.